AGGAGAAACAACAGUGGCGGCAGCCAGCUCUGGAGCCCUAUAGUCAGCUCCCGCAGUAACUACAGAGCUCUCUGUCUGCAGGGGCCUGGAUGCUCCAUGGGUGG
RNAcentral lists this microRNA precursor (104 nucleotides) under Canis lupus dingo (dingo). Its description in RNAcentral is "mir-8834 microRNA precursor family". It matches the Rfam family "mir-8834 microRNA precursor family". The record is from Rfam by way of RNAcentral. Lineage: Eukaryota; Metazoa; Chordata; Mammalia; Carnivora; Canidae.